CGCAUCUGUGCAUGCAGCAUAUCAAUAAGCGGAGGAAAAGAAACUAACAAGGAUUCCCUUAGUAACGGCGAGUGAAGCGGGAAGAGCUCAAAUUUGAAAUCUUCAAGGUUUUACCUUGACGAAUUGUAGUUUAAAGAAGUGUUUUCUGUUGAAGUUUUGGUAAAAGUUCUUUGGAAUAGGACAUCAUAGAGGGUGAGAAUCCCGUAUUUGACCAUUAUUUUCAGCUGUGUGAUACACUUUCAAAGAGUCGGAUUGUUUGGGAAUGCAGUCCAAAGUGGGUGGUAAAUUUCAUCUAAAGCUAAAUAUUGGCGAGAGACCGAUAGCGAACAAGUACCGUGAGGGAAAGAUGAAAAGAACUUUGAAAAGAGAGUUAAACAGUACGUGAAAUUGUCAAAAGGGAAGCGUUUGACACCAGUGUUGUUUUCUCGAAAAUCAAUUAAAAAGAGUUUGAUUUUGUUGUGUAUUGACCUUAACAGCUUGCAUUUCAAUUUUCUUGCUUUUUUUAAUGCACUUUUCGUUUAACAAGUCAACAUCAGUUUCUUUUGUUGUAAAAAGGUCAUUGGAAGGUGGCUUUCUUUUCGGAGAAAGUGUUUAUAGCCUUUGACUCCUGCAAUCGGAGAGACUGAGGUCUGCAGCGUAGAUCCUUUGGGGUUAGAUACAUUUGUGCUAAGUUAUAGCUUUUUAUAGACAACUUGUUGACUAUGAUUAGUCUUGUAGCUUACUCGCUUAUGCUAUUUUACCUACGCUUAGGAUGUUGACACACGCGCGUGCUCGACUCUACACAUGACUCUGUGCAUAUCAAUAAGCGGAGGAAAAGCAGACAAAGCAGAUGACCAGGCUACCUACGCUUAGGAUGUUGAUAGUCACAGCGUGUAC
This 876-nucleotide ribosomal RNA is filed under the name uncultured Neocallimastigales. RNAcentral describes it as "partial large subunit ribosomal RNA". It matches the Rfam family "Eukaryotic large subunit ribosomal RNA", at positions 26 to 610 of the family's 3401-position model. Lineage: Eukaryota; Fungi; Neocallimastigomycota; Neocallimastigomycetes; Neocallimastigales. The record is from RNAcentral.